CUUUACCUUCGGAUCCACCUGCGGGAGCUGCUAUAUUUGAGCUGCGGGGACCUGCUGAGGCAGCAGCGCAGACUGCUCUGUCCAAUUCAGCCUUAACAAACACGGAGAAGGAGCCCAAAAUGAAUUCCUCCAUCGACAGAUGUGCAUCUCCAUGUGCCGAUAAAGGGACGGAGCCGAUGGAGGGAUUGACAGAAUGAUGGUGGAAGAGAAGGAGGGGAACAAGAAGAGAGGUGACAUCAUGUGCUCAGCCUGCUCCCACUCAAGUCGUACGCCAAGCAGACAAAGGAGUCACAUCGAAACCAAGUCAGGCACAGGAUAGCCAGCUCCCACUAAUCUGAUGUGGUUACAGAUCUUUCUGAAGUUUGCAAAUUUCUAAAGGCAACUACAGCCACCUCACUGCCUCCCUUUUAAGAACUCUAUCAGUUGUAGUCCCUGCAACAAGACAGUACGGCUAUGUCCCAGCCUCUUAUUAUUUGCUAUUUGGCACGCUGAGAAAUUCACAAUCAGCCUUUAAUUCAUCUUUUGUCAUCUUCUCCAAAUUUCUUCUCCAAAUUUACAUCAAAUUGCACCCAGGUUUACUUAAAGUCUCCCAUAAAAGAUUUGUGAAGUGUAACAGAACUCUCUAUCUCUGUAGAGUUUCAUGAGAUAUCAUCCAUAUCCAGGUUGUAUAAAAAUACAUACUUGAUAUGUAAAAAGUGAAUAAAACAGGAUUAAAUGGACAAGGUUUGGAGUCAUUUAAUAUUUAAUUGAUUUUGUUGUAUACUGUGUGUUUAACCAUAAAAAUGAUCCCAUUUAAUUUAUUGUAUAGGCACGUUUGUUCUGUUUGUGU
Oreochromis aureus is the source of this 829-nucleotide long non-coding RNA. RefSeq lists it as uncharacterized. The record is from RefSeq and is a predicted model, not a curated record. NCBI's taxonomy places the organism in Eukaryota, Metazoa, Chordata, Actinopteri, Cichliformes, Cichlidae. The transcript has 3 exons.